This 2317-nucleotide ribosomal RNA is filed under the name Sphingobacteriales bacterium UTBCD1. RNAcentral's name for it is "bacterial LSU rRNA". It matches the Rfam family "Bacterial large subunit ribosomal RNA", at positions 1 to 2435 of the family's 2925-position model. Lineage: Bacteria; Pseudomonadati; Bacteroidota; Sphingobacteriia; Sphingobacteriales. The record is from RNAcentral.
UAAAGCAAUUAAGGGCACAUGGCGGAUGCCUUGGCUCUAAGAGGCGAAGAAGGACGUGGUAAGCUGCGAUAAGCUGCGGGAAGUUGCACACAAGCGUUAUAUCCGCAGAUCUCCGAAUGGGACAACCUAUGCCGAUGAAGUCGGCAUAUCCACUGAAAAGUGGAAGCCAACCUCCUGAACUGAAACAUCUAAGUAGGGAGAGGAAAAGAAAACAAUCGUGAUUCCCUGAGUAGUGGCGAGCGAAAAGGGAGAAGCCCAAAUCAUGGUAGCGUGCUACCGUGAGGUUGUAGGACUGCAUUUAGAAAUCAUCAACAAGUAGAAUUUUCUGGAAAGCUAAGCCAUAGAGGGUGAUAGCCCCGUAAACGUAGAUUGAUGAGGACGAGCAGUAUCCUGAGUAGGGUGGGACCGGAGAAAUCCUGCCUGAAUCUGCCAGCACCAUCUGGUAAGGCUAAAUACUUCUUAGAGACCGAUAGUGAACCAGUACCGUAAGGGAAAGGUGAAAAGCACCCCAAACAGGGGAAUGAAAUAGUACCUGAAACCGUGUGCCUACAAGCGGUCGGAGUCCCGAUUUAUCGGGAUGACGGCGUGCCUUUUGCAUAAUGAGCCUACGAGUUGCUCCUCACUGGCAAGGUUAAGUUCUUAAUUAACGGAGCCGUAGCGAAAGCGAGUCCAAACAGGGCGACUAGUCAGUGGGGGCAGACGCGAAACUUUGUGAUCUAUCCAUGGGCAGGUUGAAGUCCCGGUAACACGGGAUGGAGGACCGAACCCAUUAACGUUGAAAAGUUCUGGGAUGACCUGUGGAUAGGGGUGAAAGGCCAAUCAAACUGAGAGAUAGCUCGUACUCCCCGAAAUGUUUUUAGGAACAGCCUCGGAAUUAAUUCUGUUAGAGGUAGAGCUACUGAUUGGGCUAGGGGGCUUCACCGCCUACCAAACCCUGACAAACUCCGAAUGCUAACAGAUAUCUCCGGGAGUGAGGCUGCGGGUGCUAAGAUCCGUGGCCGAGAGGGAAAUAACCCAGAAUAGCAGCUAAGGUCCCUAAUACAUAGUUAAGUUGGUCAAACGAGGUAGGACUUCACUGACAGCCAGGAUGUAUGCUUGGAAGCAGCAAUCCAUUUAAAGAUAGCGUAACAGCUCACUGGUCGAGAGGUCCCGCACGGAAAAUGAUCGGGCAUCAAACUAUGAACCGAAGCUCUAUGAUCCCGAUGUAACAGUUGGGAUUCGGUAGGGGAGCAUUGAAAUCUGCAUUGAAGGUGAUAGGCGACUAUUGCUGGAGCGAUUUCAAAAGAAAAUGUAGGCAUAAGUAACGAUAAAACAGGUGAAAAACCUGUUCGCCGAAAGUCUAAGGGUUCCUGAUCAACGUUAAUCGGAUCAGGGUUAGCCCGGUCCUUAGGCAAACCCGAAAGGGGUAGCUGAUGGAAAGCAGGUUAAUAUUCCUGCGCCUGCUAUACACUAAAAGUGACGAAGAGCCGUGGUGGCUACGUGCUGACGGAUAUGCACGUUGAGCCGAGCCUUCGGGCAAAGCGAAGUCAUAAAAGUUCUUCCAAGAAAAACGAGUAUAGCAGCCGGUACCGCAAACCGACACAGGUAGACGGGAUGAGUAUUCUAAGGCGCUCGGGUGAGCCGUGGAGAAGGAACUAGGCAAAUUGACGCUGUAACUUCGGGAGAAAGCGUUCCCGACCCCGUAAGGGUGUCGGGACUCAGUAAAAUGGUUCAACCAACUGUUUAACAAAAACACAGGGCCCUGCAAAAUCGAAAGAUGACGUAUAGAGCCUGAUACCUGCCCGGUGCUGGAAGGUUAAGGAAGGGUGUUCGCCGCAAGGCAAAGCUCCUGACUGAAGCCCCAGUAAACGGCGGCCGUAACUAUAACGGUCCUAAGCCUUGUCGGGUAAGUUCCGACCUGCACGAAUGGUCUAAUGAGUUGAACACUGUCUCCUCCACGAGCCCGGUGAAAUUGUAGUAUCGGUGAAGAUGCCGGUUACCCGCCACGGGACGGAAAGACCCCGUGAACCUUCACUACAACUUUGCAUUGAUUUUGAGUUUUAGAUGUGUAGAAUAGUUGGGACGCUAUGAAGCCUUGCCGUCAGGUAGGGUGGAGCGGUCGGUGAAAUACCAACCUUCUGACACUUAGAGUCUAAUCCCGCCAUAGGCGGGAAACAUUGCAUGGUGGGUAGUUUGACUGUGGCGGUGGCUUGCAAAGGUACCCUCAGUACGGUUGGUAAUCGUACGUAGAGCGCAUCAGUAUAAGGGUGCUUGACUGUGAGGCAUACACGCCGAGCAGGGACGAAAGUCGGCUGAAGUGAUCCGGUGGUUCUGUAUG